ACGAGAGAAAUAGUGUCUCAAUAAAAAUUAAUGAAUUUUAUUUUUAAGUGAAAAAGCUUAAAUAAUUUUAAAAGACGAGAAGACCCUAUAGAGUUUAACAUUAAAUUUAUAGUAAGCAAUUGGAAUCUUUUAUUAUUAUAAAAAUUUUUGUUUAGCUGGGGUGGCUUUAAAAUUGAUUUAACUUUUAUUUAUAAAAACACUUAUUUGUGAUUAUUGAUCCA
This 221-nucleotide ribosomal RNA is filed under the name Dermestes laniarius. RNAcentral describes it as "partial large subunit ribosomal RNA". The record is from RNAcentral. Lineage: Eukaryota; Metazoa; Arthropoda; Insecta; Coleoptera; Dermestidae.